UGGGGAAUUUUGGACAAUGGGCGAAAGCCUGAUCCAGCAAUGCCGCGUGUGUGAAGAAGGCCUUCGGGUUGUAAAGCACUUUUGUCCGGAAAGAAAUGGCUCUGGUUAAUACCUGGGGUCGAUGACGGUACCGGAAGAAUAAGGACCGGCUAACUACGUGCCAGCAGCCGCGGUAAUACGUAGGGUCCAAGCGUUAAUCGGAAUUACUGGGCGUAAAGCGUGCGCAGGCGGUUGUGCAAGACCGAUGUGAAAUCCCCGAGCUUAACUUGGGAAUUGCAUUGGUGACUGCACGGCUAGAGUGUGUCAGAGGGGGGUAGAAUUCCACGUGUAGCAGUGAAAUGCGUAGAGAUGUGGAGGAAUACCGAUGGCGAAGGCAGCCCCCUGGGAUAACACUGACGCUCAUGCACGAAAGCGUGGGGAGCAAACAGGAUUAGAUACCCUGGUAGUCCACGCCCUAAACGAUGUCAACUAGUUGUUGGGGAUUCAUUUCCUUAGUAACGUAGCUAACGCGUGAAGUUUGACCGCCUGGGGAGUACGGUCGCAAGAUUAAAAGCUUAAA
RNAcentral lists this ribosomal RNA (559 nucleotides) under uncultured bacterium. RNAcentral's name for it is "partial 16S ribosomal RNA". It matches the Rfam family "Bacterial small subunit ribosomal RNA", at positions 355 to 905 of the family's 1533-position model. The record is from RNAcentral.